CCUACGGGAGGCUGCAGUGGGGAAUAUUGGACAAUGGGCGAAAGCCUGAUCCAGCCAUGCCGCGUGUGUGAAGAAGGCCUUCGGGUUGUAAAGCACUUUCAGUGGGGAAGAAAGCCUUGGGGCUAAUACCCUCGAGGAAGGACAUCACCCACAGAAGAAGCACCGGCUAACUCCGUGCCAGCAGCCGCGGUAAUACGGAGGGUGCGAGCGUUAAUCGGAAUUACUGGGCGUAAAGCGCGCGUAGGCGGUCUGAUAAGCCGGUUGUGAAAGCCCCGGGCUCAACCUGGGAACGGCAUCCGGAACUGUCAGGCUAGAGUGCAGGAGAGGAAGGUAGAAUUCCCGGUGUAGCGGUGAAAUGCGUAGAGAUCGGGAGGAAUACCAGUGGCGAAGGCGGCCUUCUGGACUGACACUGACGCUGAGGUGCGAAAGCGUGGGUAGCAAACAGGAUUAGAUACCCGAGUAGU
Molecule: ribosomal RNA, 464 nt
Filed under: Vreelandella stevensii
Lineage: Bacteria; Pseudomonadati; Pseudomonadota; Gammaproteobacteria; Oceanospirillales; Halomonadaceae
Description: partial 16S ribosomal RNA
Rfam family: Bacterial small subunit ribosomal RNA
Source: RNAcentral